Molecule: ribosomal RNA, 349 nt
Filed under: uncultured Glomus
Lineage: Eukaryota; Fungi; Glomeromycota; Glomeromycetes; Glomerales; Glomeraceae
Description: SSU rRNA
Rfam family: Eukaryotic small subunit ribosomal RNA
Source: RNAcentral
CUCCAAUAGCGUAUAUUAAAGUUGUUGCAGUUAAAAAGCUCGUAGUUGAAUUUCGGGAUCAAAUUGUCGGUCGUGCCUCGGUACGUACUGGUAUUAUUGGUUCCUCCCUUCUGACGAACCACGAUGUCAUUAAUUUGGUGCCAUGGGAAAUCAGGACUGUUACCUUGAAAAAAUUAGAGUGUUUAAAGCAGGCUCGCGCUUGAAUACAUUAGCAUGGAAUAAUGAAAUAGGACGUUUGAUUCUAUUUUGUUGGUUUCUAGGAUCGACGUAAUGAUUAAUAGGGAUAGUUGGGGGCAUUAGUAUUCAAUUGUCAGAGGUGAAAUUCUUGGAUUUAUUGAAGACUAACUAC